This 200-nucleotide ribosomal RNA is filed under the name uncultured bacterium. RNAcentral describes it as "partial 16S ribosomal RNA". It matches the Rfam family "Bacterial small subunit ribosomal RNA", at positions 28 to 229 of the family's 1533-position model. The record is from RNAcentral.
GACGAACGCUGGCGGCGUGCCUAACACAUGCAAGUCGAACGGGACCAGGGGCAACUCUGGUUCAGUGGCGGACGGGUGCGUAACACGUGAGGAACAUGACCUUCGGCGGGGGAGUAGCCGGCCCAACGGCCGGGUAAUACCGCGUACGACCUUUCGGGACAUCCCCGGAUGGUGAAAGCAGCAAUGCGCCGAUGGAGUGC